Non-coding RNA from Zootoca vivipara (common lizard), 603 nucleotides. The record is from RefSeq and is a predicted model, not a curated record. Lineage: Eukaryota; Metazoa; Chordata; Lepidosauria; Squamata; Lacertidae.
UAGUCCCACAGGCUGAGAAUAAAAUAAGAAACCAGUUCAAUGGCCCCUAAAGAGCCACAAGGUAAAUCCCUUCAGUUACCAUUUUCUCUUCGCAGGAGAUUUACUGACUCGAUACGGUCCCCCUAGUACAUUGUACUGGAGACUCUUGACAGAGCUGAGAUAUUUCGGGCUGUUGUUUUUGUGUAGAUCAUAUCAUAUAUCAUAAUAUCAUAUUACAAUACUCAUGUUUUCUUUAUAUAGGUGAGAAGCCAGUGAAAGCCCCAAAAAAACGAGCAAGAAAAGCAUCAGGAAAAAGAACACGUUUCAGGAAACGUAUGAAAAGAAUUCUUAAAUCUCCUUUUUGCCUGUAUGCUGGCGGACUGUUUGUGAUGGGCUCCAUUAUAGGGGCAACAAUGCUGACCUACCUAUAUGUUAAGGAACUGCAAAGGAGAGCCAUAUUUGAAGAAGGAACGUCAAGGAUUCUGAAAACGAUAGAAUCCCUCUAUCCAGAUCUUUGUGGGGCAGAUGAUAUCACCAAAUUCAAGAAAGCUGAGAAUUUAUCUAUGGCGAUAUUCGAAGAGAGAAGGAAAAUCAAUGAAAUAGAUCAUGCUAUUCGUAAGUUAC